This 495-nucleotide ribosomal RNA is filed under the name uncultured bacterium. RNAcentral describes it as "partial 16S ribosomal RNA". It matches the Rfam family "Bacterial small subunit ribosomal RNA", at positions 28 to 507 of the family's 1533-position model. The record is from RNAcentral.
GACGAACGCUGGCGGCGUGCCUAAUACAUGCAAGUAGAACGCUGAAGGAGGAGCUUGCUUCUCUGGAUGAGUUGCGAACGGGUGAGUAACGCGUAGGUAACCUGCCUGGUAGCGGGGGAUAACUAUUGGAAACGAUAGCUAAUACCGCAUAAGAGUAGAUGUUGCAUGACAUUUGCUUAAAAGGUGCAAUUGCAUCGCUACCAGAUGGACCUGCGUUGUAUUAGCUAGUUGGUGAGGUAACGGCUCACCAAGGCAACGAUACAUAGCCGACCUGAGAGGGUGAUCGGCCACACUGGGAGAGAGACACGGCCCAGACUCCUACGGGAGGCAGCAGUAGGGAAUCUUCGGCAAUGGACGGAAGUCUGACCGAGCAACGCCGCGUGAGUGAAGAAGGUUAUCGGAUCGUAAAGCUCUGUUGUAAGAGAAGAAAGAGUGUGAGAGUGGAAAGUUCACACUGUGACGGUAUCUUACCAGAAAGGGACGGCUAACUACGUG